Molecule: transfer RNA, 64 nt
Filed under: Rhinotermes marginalis
Lineage: Eukaryota; Metazoa; Arthropoda; Insecta; Blattodea; Rhinotermitidae
Description: tRNA-Ala
Source: RNAcentral
GGGGUCAUAGUUAAUAAUAACAUUUGAAUUGCAUCCAAAAAGUACUUACCAAAAGUUGAUCUCG